CACUAUGCCUAGCCCUAAACAUUGACAGUUAAUUACACCCACUGUCCGCCUGGGAACUACGAGCACCAGCUUAAAACCCAAAGGACUUGGCGGUGCUUUAGACCCACCUAGAGGAGCCUGUUCUAGAACCGAUAAUCCCCGUUAAACCUCACCCUUCCUUGUCAUUUCCGCCUAUAUACCACCGUCGUCAGCUUACCCUGUGAAGGUCCCAUAGUAAGCGCAAUCGGUAAUACCCAAAACGUCAGGUCGAGGUGUAGCGAAUGGAAGGGGAAGAAAUGGGCUACAUUUACUGGCACAGUAAAUACGGAUGAUUACCCUGCAACGAGUAUCUGAAGGAGGAUUUAGCAGUAAGCAAAAAGCAGAGUGUUUUGCUGAAAUUGGCCCUGAAGCGUGCACACACCGCCCGUCACUCUCCCCGAACUAAGAUUUUAAACAUAAUUAAUAUACUAUAACUGUAAAGGGGAGGCAAGUCGUAA
RNAcentral lists this ribosomal RNA (476 nucleotides) under Chaetodon semeion (dotted butterflyfish). Its description in RNAcentral is "partial small subunit ribosomal RNA". It matches the Rfam family "Bacterial small subunit ribosomal RNA", at positions 788 to 1491 of the family's 1533-position model. The record is from RNAcentral. Lineage: Eukaryota; Metazoa; Chordata; Actinopteri; Chaetodontiformes; Chaetodontidae.